Molecule: ribosomal RNA, 433 nt
Filed under: uncultured bacterium
Lineage: Bacteria
Description: partial 16S ribosomal RNA
Rfam family: Bacterial small subunit ribosomal RNA
Source: RNAcentral
AACGAACGCUGGCGGCAUGCCUAACACAUGCAAGUCGAACGAGACCUUCGGGUCUAGUGGCGCACGGGUGCGUAACGCGUGGGAACCUGCCCUUAGGUUCGGAAUAACUCCCCGAAAGGGGUGCUAAUACCGGAUAAUGUCUUCGGACCAAAGAUUUAUCGCCUUUGGAUGGGCCCGCGUUGGAUUAGCUAGUUGGUAGGGUAAAAGCCUACCAAGGCGACGAUCCAUAGCUGGUCUGAGAGGAUGAUCAGCCACACUGGGACUGAGACACGGCCCAGACUACUACGGGAGGCAGCAGUGGGGAAUAUUGGAAGAUGGGCGAAGGCCUGAACCAGCUAUGCCGCGUGAGUGAUGAAGGCCGUAGGGUAGUAAAGCUCUUUUACCCGGGAUGAUAAUGACGGUACCGGGAGAAUAAGCACCGGCUAACUCCGUG